This 1380-nucleotide long non-coding RNA is filed under the name Spirodela polyrhiza (greater duckweed). RNAcentral describes it as "long non-coding RNA (SPOL_LNC002546)". Lineage: Eukaryota; Viridiplantae; Streptophyta; Magnoliopsida; Alismatales; Araceae. The record is from RNAcentral.
GGAGGGGAACCAGCGCGAAGGGGAGCUCGAAGGACAGGAUCAUCUGCAUGGCAACCCAAAAUCAGGUGCGGAAAUUCACCAAAUCUGUGAAUUCUGUCUCGCUAGAUGGAAAAUUUUCCAAAUCUGUCUGUGUUCUCGCUUCUUAAUCAUCUCUUGGGAAAAAGAAGGCUACAAAUAGAACGGAUCCAGCAAAAGCCACGUGGAAAUCAUAGUUUUGACUUGGAUAUCGCAGUGAAAUAUUGGUGUGAACAAUUUGAGGAUCAUAAUCUGGCCCACUUUGUGUGGGUAAAAUCCAAGCCGGCGGAAGAAUGAUAAACGAUGGUAAUGGGUCCAAUUACUGAGGCUAUGAUGAUCAAUUUGCCUGCUCCAGCGGAGCCGCCGAUUAUUGCGACAAUGAGGCUGGGAACUAUAGCCAGAGACCGGGUCAGGAGAUUCCGGAUCCAUGGUUUUAUCCUCAGAUUGAGGAACCCCUGCAACAAAAAGGAAACAAAAAGCGAGUGAUGUGUAUGAAAAAUCUUUAUAAGUAGCAUCCGCCCUGUAUGUUAACCAUAGAAUCCCUUGAUCCGGGUUGUGGAAAAAUAUUAAGUCGAUCAAAAUCAUAUGGGAAGAUGGUAAGAUUUAGGGUGGUUCAAGAAUCAAGAACCGCGUUGUGUUUUAUGGGAGAACAAUAAGGGAGGAUAUGGUGUGGCAUAGCUUUUCAGGGGGUAUUAUAUCUAUACCUGCAUCACAUAUUGCCCAGCGUAUGUUCCUGUGAUCGUAGAGCUCUGACCAGAGGCCAGCAGUGCGAUAGCAAACACCUUGGAGCUCCAAUUUCCCAGAACAUUCUGCAGAAUAUGGAUCACGGAAAACAAAUAAAUAAAUAUUUUUAUAAUUAUUAAUCAUUUAAACUAUUUCUCCCCCUCCCCCUCUUUUUUUUUUUACCUUUUAAUCAACUUACACUCACCAAAUGAUGUCUUCUCCUAAUACUCCUCAGCACAGAUUUUGUAUGAAAUCCUCUUCAGAGUAUCACAAUACUUUAUGGAUACUAGGAAAUAAUCAUUAUGUUUAUAUAUGUUGUUUGAUUCAUGAAACCCCCCAGCAUCAGAAGAGUUUUUUGUUUUGUCGACAGAAAGAACAUUAGAUCAAAGAUUAAUUCUGAAGAUUCAAGCUGCCUACUUUGAGUAAGAAUGAGGCUUUGUUGAGAUCCAGGCUCUCACAGCUCUUCUUAUCUUCUGCGUUCAAAUUUGGUGAGCUGCAGACGGCGCCGCUGACGGAGAUGACAGAAACGUUGAUCAAGAAGGCUAUCGAGAGGGCAGCCGCACUCUCUAUGGCGUAGAAUCUGCAUGCGUCCUGCAACCACAUCACGUCACUCAUGAGCCAGGCCAUUAUGAACAUCAGCCU